GAACAUAAUAUUGUCGCCUUUUGUAAACCACCAUUCUGUAAACGUAGCAAACGAUUCGAUUAGUCGAUUGUCAAUCGCGAUCCCUAAUUCCUAUUCCAUCGAUUUGUAUCGUUAUGCGAACAACACACGAAGCGCAAUUGGCGAUAUACACGUUAAGGAAGAUACACCAUCUUGAAGAUCGAUUCUGUGAGAACUCGUGUCAAGUGCUUCGACGAUACGUUCCCGUCACGUCCGUUUGAACCCGUGUACGUACAGUGAUGAGAAAAGUAUUUGACUCGCGGAAGUAUUUAAACGUUUAUCGUAGAAAAUAUUUUUAAAUAUAUUACGCAUAUACGUACAACAUACGAAACUUUUCGAAAUUUUACAACGAAGCACAAGUAUCGUAAUCACGGUGAUAAAAUUUGAAAGCAAAGUUUAAAAAUUUACAUAGGAGUUACAAGAUAUUUGCCGUAAGCAUAUAGUUUGCAAAAAUGUGAUAUAAUUUAAAUACAUUAAAAACGAUAAUAAUAAUAUAGAAGAUACACGACUGUUUAAACAAUAGCUUUAACGAAGCGCAUGUUUGCAAGAAACAUCUUGUAACUUUUUCAAACUUGUUCCAAACUUUAUCGAUGAUCUCGUGUCCUGCAAAAUCUUUUUCAUAACAUACAUAAUAUAUUCCAAAAGAGUUUCUACGAGUGUUCGAAUACUUUCAUGAGCCAUCGUAUGUGAGUGUACGUAUGUUAAUGGUAGGUCCAUGGGAUUUACGCGACUCUACGCGACCAACGCUUGAAACGUAUCGUUGUUUUAUCGAUAAACGAUCAAUCGACUAGUAAACUUUCGUUCGAUGUUCUCAGAUCGAACGAAUCGUUUUCGUUAUCCGUUUGCUAAUAAAAUGCAACGAUAGAUUACGUGGAUCGUGUGGAAUCGAAGAGUCGCGACGAGAAAAUGUUAUUUCGCGUUGGCUUACCGAUCGCGGUUACGUCGACGCGAUAUAGCGAGCGUGUGUUACGUAUAUUAUUCGCGACUUCCUGUGUUCCGUGCGCCGCCAUGAAAUCGGCGUAACCGUCAGACAGUCGAUGUCGAUUGUCUCGACAAUACGAUCGAGUUUUAACGUCGUCAUUUCGCGUUCUCGAAAUGAAUCCAUUUUAUGCGUUUAGCGAUAACAAAGACAAACAGAGAAAAGAGAUAAAAGAGAAAUGUUAUGCGAGAAAGAGUCACGUUCACUUUUAUGCGUUGUUUUUCAGCACGAUCAACCGGGACAGUGGCGCGAAUAAAUA
Molecule: long non-coding RNA, 1256 nt
Organism: Bombus pascuorum
Lineage: Eukaryota; Metazoa; Arthropoda; Insecta; Hymenoptera; Apidae
Exons: 2
Source: RefSeq, a predicted model, not a curated record